GACGAACGCUGGCGGCGUGCUUAACACAUGCAAGUCGAACGCUGAAGCUCAGCUUUUGUUGGGUGGAUGAGUGGCGAACGGGUGAGUAACACGUGAGUAACCUGCCUCCUUCUUUGGGAUAACGCCCGGAAACGGGUGCUAAUACUGGAUAUUCACUGGUCUUCGCAUGGGGGUUGGUGGAAAGGGUUUUUCUGGUGGGGGAUGGGCUCGCGGCCUAUCAGCUUGUUGGUGGGGUGAUGGCCUACCAAGGCUUUGACGGGUAGCCGGCCUGAGAGGGUGACCGGUCACAUUGGGACUGAGAUACGGCCCAGACUCCUACGGGAGGCAGCAGUGGGGAAUAUUGCACAAUGGGCGCAAGCCUGAUGCAGCGACGCCGCGUGAGGGAUGGAGGCCUUCGGGUUGUGAACCUCUCUCGCUCAUGGUCAAGCCGCAACAAUGGUUGUGGUGAGGGUAGUGGGUAAAGAAGCGCCGGCUAACUACGUG
This 483-nucleotide ribosomal RNA is filed under the name uncultured bacterium. RNAcentral's name for it is "partial 16S ribosomal RNA". It matches the Rfam family "Bacterial small subunit ribosomal RNA", at positions 28 to 507 of the family's 1533-position model. The record is from RNAcentral.